UGCCCAGCAACUCCUAUCCCUACCUCCUCGUGGUACUGGCCGGGGUACGAGUAUCCUUAGGGAAGAUCUGGUAACCAACCCCGGUAGGAACUUUGGUCCUAUGCUGACAGGGAAGG
Non-coding RNA from Aedes aegypti (yellow fever mosquito), 116 nucleotides. The record is from Rfam. NCBI's taxonomy places the organism in Eukaryota, Metazoa, Arthropoda, Insecta, Diptera, Culicidae.